UGCAAGUCGAACGGUGAAGCAGAGCUUGCUCUGUGGAUCAGUGGCGAACGGGUGAGUAACACGUGAGUAACCUGCCCUUGACUCUGGGAUAAGCGUUGGAAACGACGUCUAAUACCGGAUACGACCCUCAACCGCAUGGUUAGGGGGUGGAAAGAUUUUUUGGUCAAGGAUGGACUCGCGGCCUAUCAGCUUGUUGGUGAGGUAAUGGCUCACCAAGGCGACGACGGGUAGCCGGCCUGAGAGGGUGACCGGCCACACUGGGACUGAGACACGGCCCAGACUCCUACGGGAGGCAGCAGUGGGGAAUAUUGCACAAUGGGCGCAAGCCUGAUGCAGCAACGCCGCGUGAGGGAUGACGGCCUUCGGGUUGUAAACCUCUUUUAGUAGGGAAGAAGCGAAAGUGACGGUACCUGCAGAAAAAGCACCGGCUAACUACGUGCCAGCAGCCGCGGUAAUACGUAGGGUGCAAGCGUUGUCCGGAAUUAUUGGGCGUAAAGAGCUCGUAGGCGGUUUGUCGCGUCUGCUGUGAAAACUGGAGGCUCAACCUCCAGCCUGCAGUGGGUACGGGCAGACUAGAGUGCGGUAGGGGAGAUUGGAAUUCCUGGUGUAGCGGUGGAAUGCGCAGAUAUCAGGAGGAACACCGAUGGCGAAGGCAGAUCUCUGGGCCGUAACUGACGCUGAGGAGCGAAAGCGUGGGGAGCGAACAGGAUUAGAUACCCUGGUAGUCCACGCCGUAAACGUUGGGAACUAGAUGUGGGGACCAUUCCACGGUCUCCGUGUCGCAGCUAACGCAUUAAGUUCCCCGCCUGGGGAGUACGGCCGCAAGGCUAAAACUCAAAGGAAUUGACGGGGGCCCGCACAAGCGGCGGAGCAUGCGGAUUAAUUCGAUGCAACGCGAAGAACCUUACCAAGGCUUGACAUAUACGAGAACGGGCCAGAAAUGGUCAACUCUUUGGACACUCGUAAACAGGUGGUGCAUGGUUGUCGUCAGCUCGUGUCGUGAGAUGUUGGGGUUAAGUCCCGCAACGAGCGCAACCCUCGUUCUAUGUUGCCAGCAC
Molecule: ribosomal RNA, 1058 nt
Filed under: Curtobacterium sp. 734G1
Lineage: Bacteria; Bacillati; Actinomycetota; Actinomycetes; Micrococcales; Microbacteriaceae
Description: bacterial SSU rRNA
Rfam family: Bacterial small subunit ribosomal RNA
Source: RNAcentral